RNAcentral lists this ribosomal RNA (466 nucleotides) under Vreelandella stevensii. RNAcentral's name for it is "partial 16S ribosomal RNA". It matches the Rfam family "Bacterial small subunit ribosomal RNA", at positions 338 to 795 of the family's 1533-position model. The record is from RNAcentral. Lineage: Bacteria; Pseudomonadati; Pseudomonadota; Gammaproteobacteria; Oceanospirillales; Halomonadaceae.
CCUACGGGAGGCUGCAGUGGGGAAUAUUGGACAAUGGGGGGAACCCUGAUCCAGCCAUGCCGCGUGUGUGAAGAAGGCCCUCGGGUUGUAAAGCACUUUCAGUGAGGAAGAACGCCUGGUGGUUAAUACCCAUCAGGAAAGACAUCACUCACAGAAGAAGCACCGGCUAACUCCGUGCCAGCAGCCGCGGUAAUACGGAGGGUGCGAGCGUUAAUCGGAAUUACUGGGCGUAAAGCGCGCGUAGGUGGCUUGAUAAGCCGGUUGUGAAAGCCCCGGGCUCAACCUGGGAACGGCAUCCGGAACUGUCAAGCUAGAGUGCAGGAGAGGAAGGUAGAAUUCCCGGUGUAGCGGUGAAAUGCGUAGAGAUCGGGAGGAAUACCAGUGGCGAAGGCGGCCUUCUGGACUGACACUGACACUGAGGUGCGAAAGCGUGGGUAGCAAACAGGAUUUAGAUACCCUGGUAGUC